UACAGAGGUCCCAAGCGUUGUUCGGAUUCACUGGGCGUAAAGGGUGCGUAGGUGGUUAGGUAAGUCCGAUGUGAAAUCUCCAGGCUCAACCUGGAAAUGGCAUUGGAUACUAUCUAGCUUGAGGAGUGGAGGGGGGACUGGAAUUCUCGGUGUAGCAGUGAAAUGCGUAGAUAUCGAGAGGAACACCAGUGGCGAAGGCGAGUCCCUGGACACUUCCUGACACUGAGGCACGAAAGCUAGGGGAGCAAAC
Molecule: ribosomal RNA, 250 nt
Filed under: uncultured bacterium
Lineage: Bacteria
Description: partial 16S ribosomal RNA
Rfam family: Bacterial small subunit ribosomal RNA
Source: RNAcentral